This 255-nucleotide ribosomal RNA is filed under the name Roseburia intestinalis L1-82. RNAcentral describes it as "partial 16S ribosomal RNA". The stretch from base 44 to 255 matches the Rfam family "Bacterial small subunit ribosomal RNA", at positions 565 to 776 of the family's 1533-position model. Lineage: Bacteria; Bacillati; Bacillota; Clostridia; Lachnospirales; Lachnospiraceae. The record is from RNAcentral.
CCUCCGUCUUGUGCCCGCGUUCUCCGUCUUUCCUGUUUUUCCCGGGCGCGCCGGCGGUCCGGCCCGUCUGAUGUGAAAGCCCGGGGCUCAACCCCGGUACUGCAUUGGAAACUGUCGGACUAGAGUGUCGGAGGGGUAAGUGGAAUUCCUAGUGUAGCGGUGAAAUGCGUAGAUAUUAGGAGGAACACCAGUGGCGAAGGCGGCUUACUGGACGAUUACUGACGCUGAGGCUCGAAAGCGUGGGGAGCAAACAGG